GAUGAACGCUGGCGGCGUGCCUAAUACAUGCAAGUCGAGCGAACACAUCAGGAGCUUGCUCCUCUGACGUUAGCGGCGGACGGGUGAGUAACACGUGGAUAACCUACCUCUAAGACUGGGAUAACUUCGGCAAACCGGAGCUAAUACCGGAUAAUAUAUUGAACCGCAUGGUUCAAUAGUUAAAGUCGGUUUUUCUGGCACUUAUAGAUGGAUCCGCGCCGCAUUAGCUAGUUGGUAAGGUAACGGCUUACCAAGGCAACGAUGCGUAGCCGACCUGAGAGGGUGAUCGGCCACACUGGAACUGAGACAGGGUCCAGACUCCGACGGGAGGCAGCAGUAGGGAAUCUUCCGCAAUGGGCGAAAGCUUGACGGAGCAACGCCGCGUGAGUGAUGAAGGUCUUCGGAUCGUAAAACUCUGUUAUUAGGGAAGAACAAAUGUGUAAGUAACUAUGCACGUAUUGACGGUACCUAAUCAGAAAGCCACGGCUAACUACGUG
RNAcentral lists this ribosomal RNA (497 nucleotides) under uncultured bacterium. RNAcentral's name for it is "partial 16S ribosomal RNA". It matches the Rfam family "Bacterial small subunit ribosomal RNA", at positions 28 to 507 of the family's 1533-position model. The record is from RNAcentral.